This 450-nucleotide ribosomal RNA is filed under the name uncultured bacterium. RNAcentral's name for it is "partial 16S ribosomal RNA". It matches the Rfam family "Bacterial small subunit ribosomal RNA", at positions 354 to 796 of the family's 1533-position model. The record is from RNAcentral.
GUGGGGAAUCUUCCGCAAUGGACGAAAGUCUGACGGAGCGACGCCGCGUGAGUGAUGAAGGUUUUCGGACUGUAAAGCUCUGUUGUUUAGGACGAAAGUGCCUGUUGCGAACAGUUACAGGUAUUGACGGUACUAAACGAGGAAGCCACGACUAACUACGUGCCAGCAGCCGCGGUAAUACGUAGGUGGCAAGCGUUGUCCGGAAUUAUUGGGCGUAACGAGCAUGUAGGCGGAGAUUUAAGUCUGUUGUGAAAAUGCGGGGCUCAACCCCGUAUUGCGAUGGAAACUGAAUUUCUUGAGUGCAGGAGAGGAAAGGGGAAUUCCCAGGGUAGCGGUGAAAUGCGUAGAUAUUGGGAGGAACACCAGUGGCGAAGGCGCCUUUCUGGACUGUGUCUGACGCUGAGAUGCGAAAGCCAGGGUAGCGAACGGGAUUAGAUACCCUAGUAGUCC